RNAcentral lists this long non-coding RNA (1434 nucleotides) under Homo sapiens (human). RNAcentral's name for it is "HSALNT0111773". Lineage: Eukaryota; Metazoa; Chordata; Mammalia; Primates; Hominidae. The record is from RNAcentral.
CAUGUUGAAUUGCAGUCCCCCAAUGUUGGAAGUGGGGCCUGGUGGGAGGUGAUUAGAUCAUAGGGGUGGAUUUCUCAUGAAUGGUUCAGCACCAUCCUCUUGAUGCUGUCCUUACAAUAAUGAGUUAUCAUGCAAUCUCGUUGUUUAAAAGUAUGUGACACCUUCCCCUCUCUCUCCCUCUUGUUUUUGCUGUGUGACUUACAAGCUUCUGCUUCACCUUCCACCAUGAUUGUAAGCUUCCAGAGGCUUCCCCAGAAGGAGAUGCCAACUCCAUGCUUCUUGUGCAGCCUGCAGCACCUUGCAGUUUCCAAGAAUCUAUUGAUGAUGUGAAGUGAGGACUUACAGUAUACACAAAGAAGUGAAGAUCUCUGGAAAUGGCUAAAAUAAAGAGAAGACAUUUGUGUUGCAUUAAAAGAAGGAAUUUACAAAGUAGAGAAGAGGUGAAAGCAAGAAGGGUGAUGUGGAAGAGCCAACUGAGGAAGGACAGAGGUCUCAGCGUGGAAGGAGUACAGGAAAUGAUGAAGAUAUAGCGGGUACAUGUGCAGGUUUGUUACAUGGGAAUAUUGCAUGAUGCUGAAGUUUGGAAUAUGUAUCCCAUCACCCAAUUGGUGAGCUUAGUACAUGAUGCUGCACUACUUGUUACCGUGGCCUAUUGUAUAAUUACAUUGGAACCUUUUUGAUACCUAUUCAAGUGAGUAUUUCCCUCUUGUUGCCUGAAAUUUCUUUUCUGCACUAGGUAAAUGAGCCAAUAAAGUAUUUCUUAAAACAUUGCCGUUACCAUGGAAAUAAGGGUUUCACAUUACUCUUGUCUAUGUAUGUUGACUUUAUUUUGGGUCAUGUAGUUGGGAGAUAGCUCUCAGAGUUUCAUGGUAUCCUAAAAGCAUUUUGUGAUUUUAUGGAGAUCUUUUCUUGAACUACUUUUUUAUUGAAAAACAUACUGUUUCCUAGAAGACCGGUGAGAGCAUUUGAAUUAUAAUCCAAAUAUUUUCCUGGCUUUCAUUGAAAUACAGUCUUGACUUAGGAAAAGCUUCUUAUUUUGCUAUACAUUUAGAAAGCAUGCAACAUAUUUUCUAUACAGUCAACACAAUCUUUGAGGCCAUCUGCAGUUUAUAACAAAUUUAUGAUAUAGUAGCUUAAAUUGAUGAGAUAAUGAGCUGCUGACAGACAUGUUUUUCUAAAUUGAUAUUUGAGGAUGGUGCAGCCAAAAUACUUGGCAUGAAAUAGCAAAGGAAAUGAGAGUUGUGUAUCUACAGAACUCAACUCUAUACUGCCACACAAGCUAAAAAGACUUAAAAUCUAAAAUUUUACUAGUACUCUUCAGUUCUAUCCUAUACUCUUUGAUUAAAUAUUGCCUUAACUUAGAAAGACUAUAGUAUUUUUUUCUCUUUUAUCUGUACAGAUACAGACAUGCCAAUUAUUGGCAAAUCCUGUUAA